Molecule: long non-coding RNA, 1096 nt
Filed under: Athene cunicularia (burrowing owl)
Lineage: Eukaryota; Metazoa; Chordata; Aves; Strigiformes; Strigidae
Description: lncRNA (ENSACUG00000004956.1)
Source: RNAcentral
CAGUUUGCUGGAUGAGCCAGACACCAUGGCCACCAACUUGGCACCAUCGGUGACACCCAGUUUGCUGGAUGAGCCAGACACCAUGGCCACCAACGUGGCACCAUCGAUGUCACCCAGCCCACUGGACACCAUGUCCACUGACCUGGUGCCAUCGGUGACCCCCAGCUUGCCAGAUGGCGUUGCAGCACUGUCCCACCCACCGCAGGAUGUGUCCCCCCACGAUACCAGCAAGGAGCUGGCGGACAGGGUGGCCUUGGCCAGCAAGUCCCCAGAGCCACCAGCAUGUCCCCCAGGGCAGGGGACGAUGUUGUGUCCCCCUGGGGAUGUGAGCGAAGCCCCUGAGGAGUGGGACGGGGCCACCGCUUCCUCCGAGGAGUCGUCCCCAGAGCUGCUGGACACCUCCCGCUCCCGCACUGACUCCAGCUUCUUCACCGCCCCAGAGGACAGCGCGGGGGAGGCGGCCGCCCCCCCCAGACCCCCAUCUUCUGCUGAGGAAGAGGAGGAUGCUGCCCAUCGCUGCCUGGCCCUCUGCCUGCCCGCCUCACCCCCCGCUGUCCCCCUGUUGGUUUUCACCGCCUCGGAGCGGGAGGUGUACGUGGGGGUGCCCCCGGCCCCCCUGGAACUGCUCCAACCACCCGGUGCCUUUUUGGAGAGCGGGACGGCCUGGCAGCGCCAAGAGGACCGCGAGCAGGUCACCGCCAUGUUGUGGGGCUCCUUUGGGGACUUGCCGGCCCCCCACCUCCUCCCUAAGCCCCCCGAGGUGCUGGCAGAGCCCCUGGAGAGCCCCCCUGCUGAUGGGGGGAUGGAGGAGCCCCUGGCCCCCCAUGACCCCCCAAUCCCUCAGCCAGGCGAUGAGUCUCCAGGCCAGACUGCUGGGGAAACCGAUGCCAAAGUCCUGGGGGAGGGUGGCCCCCCCAGUGAGCCCCCGGCACUCCCAGGGCAGCAGGAGGAAGCGGAGGUGAUGGCGGGGGCUUCAUCCAGCCCCCAGCUUGCUCCAGGCGCUGCUGAAGCUGGAGAUGCUCAGCCAGAGCCCCCCCUGGAGCUGGCUGGGGAAGCAGCACCCCAAGCCCCCCCUGAGCCCCCCAGNNNNNNNNNN